CAUUAUUCUUUGAAAAAGACAAAAUUUGAUGGGUAAUUGGUGAAAUACCUGUAAUCUUUAGUGAUUUUGCACAAUACUUUCUAAUCUUUCAGUUUGCAUCGAAACCUCCUAGAUCAACCAAACAUUGCGUAAUAUUAAACUGCCGUCAAUUUCUGUUAGGUUUUUAGUUGAACUUGUGGAGGACAAGAGCAACUCCCAAUUUUCACUUUAGGUCAUGUUUGCUCAAAGAGGACGUGGGAGAGGCACCAAUGACAUCGACAAAGAAAUCCCAAAACUCAAGUGAUAUUGUGGGUUUUUAUUCAUCGCAAUAUAUUGCAAUUCUGCCUCACAGGAAGUUGAUCCUAAUAUGGAGAAUGAGGGCACAUUAGGUUUAGAUAAUAUAGAUCAGUUUCUAUCCGACCUAGCAAAUGCUAUUCUUGGAAUUGAUGAAGCUGAGUUUUGUGUAAAUGUUGAAGCAACGUUAAGUUGUACUUAAUGUUUUCCUCAUUUACUAACACUUGCCUAUAGAUAUGGGCAGCCGUGAUAUUGACCCGAUGCAUAUCAAAACUUUUGGUCUGUUAUUGCAAGAAAGGCGGUGCUACUGAAACAGGGCCUAUGUGACAAGAAUUAUUCUUGCAAGAAAAUUUAAUGCCU
RNAcentral lists this long non-coding RNA (633 nucleotides) under Olea europaea subsp. europaea. The record is from RNAcentral. Lineage: Eukaryota; Viridiplantae; Streptophyta; Magnoliopsida; Lamiales; Oleaceae.